GUUAUUACAUUCUUUUGCAACAUUUAUAAAUAAAAACAAUAAAGCUUGUAUUGUGCAUCCGGAUUGCUCCGGAGCGCAUAUUGUCACACAAAGUGCAACAUGAUUUUUGUUAAUGAUCCUUCCGCAGGUUCACCUACGGAAA
RNAcentral lists this unclassified non-coding RNA (142 nucleotides) under uncultured fungus. RNAcentral describes it as "sequence contains ITS1". The record is from RNAcentral. Lineage: Eukaryota; Fungi.